AAAAAGUAAAUGGACUUGCCACAGUGUACAGGCAAGAGGAGGGGAGGAUUUUCCUAGAUCAAUUACUGAGCCAGUUGAUUUUUUUUUUUUUGCCUUAACGUAGGUAUUUUGACCAAGAUUUGUAAUGUCUAGUAUAUGUUCUUUAUGGCAGUGUUUCAUCUUUUGGCAUCCUUGAAAUGUCAGUUUUGUGUAAUUGUCUCAUGAACAAUGAAUUAUGCACAUCCUUUAAUAAAUGUAAACUAACAAUUGGUUUUGGGAUUGUCUUCUUAUAAAAUUAUUUAUCCUCUUAAAGUUUAAAAAGGCUUUAGAGACAGAGGAAAAUGCAUUUGAUUAAACAGAUAGUACUGAUGAACUCCAAAAA
RNAcentral lists this long non-coding RNA (361 nucleotides) under Pan troglodytes (chimpanzee). RNAcentral describes it as "lincRNA". Lineage: Eukaryota; Metazoa; Chordata; Mammalia; Primates; Hominidae. The record is from RNAcentral.